AAUCCAUAGGUUAAUGAGGCGAACCGGGGGAACUGAAACAUCUAAGUACCCCGAGGAAAAGAAAUCAACCGAGAUUCCCCCAGUAGCGGCGAGCGAACGGGGAGGAGCCCAGAGCCUGAAUCAGCAUGUGUGUUAGUGGAAGCGUCUGGAAAGGCGCGCGAUACAGGGUGACAGCCCCGUACACAAAAGCGCAUGUGCUGUGAGCUCGAUGAGUAGGGCGGGACACGUGGUAUCCUGUCUGAAUAUGGGGGGACCAUCCUCCAAGGCUAAAUACUCCUGACUGACCGAUAGUGAACCAGUACCGUGAGGGAAAGGCGAAAAGAACCCCGGCGAGGGGAGUGAAAAAGAACCUGAAACCGUGUACGUACAAGCAGUGGGAGCACCCUUUGGGGUGUGACUGCGUACCUUUUGUAUAAUGGGUCAGCGACUUAUAUUCUGUAGCAAGGUUAACCGAAUAGGGGAGCCG
This 466-nucleotide ribosomal RNA is filed under the name Salmonella enterica subsp. enterica serovar Fluntern. Its description in RNAcentral is "partial 23S ribosomal RNA". It matches the Rfam family "Bacterial large subunit ribosomal RNA", at positions 161 to 668 of the family's 2925-position model. Lineage: Bacteria; Pseudomonadati; Pseudomonadota; Gammaproteobacteria; Enterobacterales; Enterobacteriaceae. The record is from RNAcentral.